AAGCUCGUAGUUGAAUUUCGGGGUUAGUAGAUUGGUCAUGCCUCUAAUAUAUACUGAUCUCACUAAUUCCUCCUUCCUGAUAAUCCAUAAUACCAUUAAUUUGAUAUUACGGGGAAUUUGGACUGUUACUUUGAAAAAAUUAGAGUGUUUAAAGCAAGCUAACGCUUGAAUACAUUAGCAUGGAAUAAUGAAAUAGGACGUUCGAUCCUAUUUUGUUGGUUUCUAGGAUUGACGUAAUGAUUAAUAGGGAUAGUUGGG
RNAcentral lists this ribosomal RNA (258 nucleotides) under uncultured Glomus. Its description in RNAcentral is "partial 18S ribosomal RNA". It matches the Rfam family "Eukaryotic small subunit ribosomal RNA", at positions 624 to 886 of the family's 1831-position model. Lineage: Eukaryota; Fungi; Glomeromycota; Glomeromycetes; Glomerales; Glomeraceae. The record is from RNAcentral.